AUUGAACGCUGGCGGCAUGCCUUACACAUGCAAGUCGAACGGCAGCACGGGUGCUUGCACCUGGUGGCGAGUGGCGAACGGGUGAGUAAUACAUCGGAACAUGUCCUGUAGUGGGGGAUAGCCCGGCGAAAGCCGGAUUAAUACCGCAUACGAUCUACGGAUGAAAGCGGGGGAUCUUCGGACCUCGCGCUAUAGGGUUGGCCGAUGGCUGAUUAGCUAGUUGGUGGGGUAAAGGCCUACCAAGGCGACGAUCAGUAGCUGGUCUGAGAGGACGACCAGCCACACUGGGACUGAGACACGGCCCAGACUCCUACGGGAGGCAGCAGUGGGGAAUUUUGGACAAAGGGCGAAAGCCUGAUCCAGCAAUGCCGCGUGUGUGAAGAAGGCCUUCGGGUUGUAAAGCACUUUUGUCCGGAAAGAAAUCCUUGGCUCUAAUACAGUCGGGGGAUGACGGUACCGGAAGAAUAAGCACCGGCUAACUACGUG
This 486-nucleotide ribosomal RNA is filed under the name uncultured bacterium. RNAcentral's name for it is "partial 16S ribosomal RNA". It matches the Rfam family "Bacterial small subunit ribosomal RNA", at positions 30 to 507 of the family's 1533-position model. The record is from RNAcentral.